GUCUCAGUAGCGUAGUGGUUAACGCACAAGCCCCGCUAGGGCGCGAGACGCGGGUUCGAAUCCCGGCUGAGCCG
This 74-nucleotide transfer RNA is filed under the name Nippostrongylus brasiliensis. It matches the Rfam family "tRNA". From Rfam's summary of the family: Transfer RNA (tRNA) molecules are approximately 80 nucleotides in length. The record is from Rfam by way of RNAcentral. Lineage: Eukaryota; Metazoa; Nematoda; Chromadorea; Rhabditida; Heligmosomidae.